AUGCUGUACCCCCUGCCACUCCUGGUCCGUCCAGCUAGAAUACCAUAUAUCACCUGGAAAGUCAAAGGUGUGCCUGAUCCUCCACAGGAUUCUAUGAGCCUUGAUAAAUGUGCCUGCCAUUGGCAAAGGCAGAUAAAGAAGGAAAAUCUAUCGGUGACACAUGUAACCGGUUCAUACUCAUGCCUCUAUGUGUGUGUAUGUGUGCAUUUGCACGUGUGUAUGCAUGCACUUGUGUGUGCAUGCAUGCACAUUUGUCUUUUCUACCCAGUACAUCAUUUCAGGAACUGUUGCCAUAAUCACGGAGAAAAAGCGUCGACGUUCUCUGGCAAAGAUCACCGUGGGGCUGAACAUCAUUGGCAUCAUCUAUGCCAUCUAUGGGCUGAUCACUCUGGUCAUUGAGUUUCUCAGUUAUGACUCUAUGUCUAUGCAACAAAGUUGGCCUGAGGUAAGUAAGCUGGUUCACUGGGCAGGCCUCCAUUUCUGAAGGUGUGUUUGAAGAUGGAGAGGGUCUGGCAGGUGGCCAUCUAGGCUAGGCUACCCAACCAGGGGGAUUUCCUCUGGCUAGUUAAUUGAGUUUCUGGGCUUUCCUCCUUCCUAAGGAUUCAGGUCCAUUUGAGGCUCCCUCCUGGGAGGAAUAAUGACAAGGAAGGUAGAAAUGUUGUGGCCCUCGAUGGACAGCGGGCCACAGGACCUCUGAGUUCUUCCUGCCCAUUGGGAACUCGAACCCAUUACUCCUAGGUCUGUCCUGGAGGUCCCUCUUGCAUGGGGUAGCCCUGGAUGCAGCUAUCCUGCUCCCCCCUCCCCCUGAACCCUGAGUCUUUUCUGCUCCAAGAUAAACAUCCCUGGUUCCUUCUGUGGAUCUCCAUAUGGUACAACCUCCAGAGCCUUCACAGUCCUGGUGAUGGUGACUUUCUCCAACUGAUCAAAAUCCUUCCACAAAUGGGGUGCCCAGGACUGAACCUCAUACUCCACUGUGGUCUGGUGAGGUCAGAGGGCAGUGGGCUUGUCCCCUUCAUGGUCAGUCUAUCCAACAAGCAUGGCUGCGCUUGGUGCUGAAGACCAAGCCCCGACUGCCAUGCUCCUCCUCUCCUGGUGCCUCCACCCUAUCAGGGCAGACGCCACGUCCACAUCUCUGCGUGUGGAGAAUACGUGUACGGGAGUUAAGGGGGGGGAGGAUGGGGAAGUACCCACGUAGAAGCGCUGCUUGAGGAGUCCUGGCCUAUUCUCUCUACAGAAACCAGAGACUGCAUUCCUUUUCACAAAUGCCAUCCCCACAUGCCUGACUCCUAGUAUGCUUAGGGUCCGUUAGGACCCCAGGUCUUUUUUCAAACAACCGCCUCCUGUGAAGUUGGUUGCUUGCACCCAAGUCCAAAAUUCCCACAUUCAUCCCUCCUUCCAA
Molecule: long non-coding RNA, 1399 nt
Filed under: Phascolarctos cinereus (koala)
Lineage: Eukaryota; Metazoa; Chordata; Mammalia; Diprotodontia; Phascolarctidae
Description: lncRNA (ENSPCIG00000031495.1)
Source: RNAcentral